CUGGAACUUGAUUUAUUGCAAAUAGCAAACGAAAGAUUUAAUGCUCCACCACCAAAUUAAGAGGAAAAGAAUUUGUUAAUAUAGAACUCAGAAAUUUUCCAACAAAAGAUGAGAUAGCAUCAGCCAUGAGUCAUAAUUCUCCAGCUUUAUAACCCGAUUGUUGUAAUUGCUUGAUUACAUAGAACUCUUUCUCCUAUAUCACCACCCAGUAAAGGAACAUGAUAUCCAAAUUCAGCAAGGCAUGACAUCCAUUCCCGCUCCACCGAUUUGGACAAAGGGCCUCCUCAUGCAGGAGAAACACUCUCUUAUCCAGUAUAACAAUAUCGUCUCACAAUCGAACCUCCGACAAAACCUCUGCAUCUUUACAUUAGACAACCAAUACAACCUUGGAAGUAUUUGUGAAAGCACACCCAGCCAAUCCUUCUACCUUAUAUCUAAGGUAUCUUGAAAAUGUUCUUCAGUUUGACCACCAGCUUCCACUCCUCCAUAGACAGAUCAUCCCGAUAAUUAGUCUUCAGAACAUCAAUUGAUCUCCUUGUAACGUGGCUGAUAAGUAAAUCAUUAAUCUCAAAAUGUCUGCCAAACAUUUUUUGCUGCUCCUCAGGGUUGGAGCCAACAAUCUUAAUGGCAACCUUCUGGCCCUUCUUGGCACAAUCAACAGGCUUAUGGUUGUUCUCAAUGGAAGCAAUCCGACCAAUGUCAAUAAAAUCUCUCUCAGGAAUACAAAUUGGAGUCCCAACCUUAGCUAUGCCAUCGGCAACAUCAACUCCCAAGACAAUUGGAUCUUUCUUGUUGAAAAUGCAAUUUGGUAAAAUCUGAAGAAUGCAUGGGAAGACUGCUUCAUCUGCAGCUUCCUUCUUCUUUUCCUCCUUCAGGUUGUCAAUAUAAGCCUUGAAUUGAUCAAAUAAGUGAUAGAUAAUAUCAGCAAUGAAAAUCUUUACACCCAAUUCAUCUGCAAGUUCCCGAGCCUCUUGGGUCACUUUGACAUCAAAUGCCAAGAUAGUGGCAUAUUCCUUUUUCUUCUCAAGCAUCACACUGGCCUUCAUAACAUCCUUUUUGUGUACUGGGCCUAUGCCUAUGCCACUAACAGGAAUGCUCACUGCAGGUGACUUCAAAAACUCCAGCAAUGCUUCCAAUGACCCAAGGGUAGAUGCUUGGACAUAGACUCCCUCACCACUCUUAUCAAUCCGGCUCAUCACUGACCUCAUGUCUUCCAUUGCUGUUUCCAUGACAUCAUCCAAAUCAUCAUCAGGUCCUACCACAUAUAGACCUGUGCCAGCAAUAGCAUGCUCAAGGCCCUGUGCAGUAAUCUUGAUGCCCUGUGCAGCCUUGAUUUCUUUAUGGUGUAUAUAUGCACCCUUAACUCGGAUCUCCUUCAUGGGGUGAGGGGUCAAUAAAGCUCGAAUAGUAGUAACAAUGGGCCCCUGCAAGCCACAAACAACUAUUUGAUCUCCCUCAUGAAGAACACCAUUGACCAACACGACAUCAAUUGUUGUUCCAUGGCCUUCAAUGACCUUGACCUCCAAUACCGUACACUGCACUUCAUCACUAAAUGUGAGUUUCUCAACCAUAGUUUUCUGACUCCACUGAACCAGUAACAAUAGCAAAUCAGGGAUACCCUCUCCACUAAUAGCACUUGUAGGGACAAUACUGAAAGUUUCUCCCAUUUCCUUGUUUUUAUAGUACAGUUCAGUAUUUAGCCCUUGUUCCUUGAAUUGAGUUAUAAUCUGUGUAAGUCUCAUAUUGAAUUCAUUCUGCACAUCUUUUGACUGUUGCUUCAUUGCCUUCACUAUUGGUGCAUUGCGACAAACUUUCCAUCCAUAGAGUCUGUCCACCUUAUUCAAUGCAACAAUGAAUUCUGUAUUUCUCAUCUUCAAGAGAUUGAGUGAUUCUAUUGUUUGAGGCUCCAAGCCAUGCAUAAUGUCAACAACCAAGAUCGCAAUAUCGCACAAACCUGAACCCCUUGACCGCAGAUUAGUAAAAGACUCAUGGCCGGGAGUAUCAAUAACCAAUAGACCAGGGACUUUCAGUUUUGCAUCAGCUUUCAAUUCCUUAGUUCUCUCUCUUAUGUUCUCAGCGGGAAAGUAUGUUGCACCAAUCUGCUGUGUUAUACCCCCAGCCUCCCCUUCCUGAACAUUAGUGCCUCGGAUACAAUCCAGCAACUUGGUUUUACCAGUAUCAACAUGGCCCAUAAUACAGCAAAUUGGAGAACGGAGGUUUUCUUCACCCUGUUUAGGAGUGGCAUCUGAAGGUGACGUUUUAUUCUUUGCAACAGCAUCUUUUCUUCUAUUUUUACAAGUAAUUUCAACUUCAGGUUGAGAUUUCUUAUUUUCAGCAUCCAGAGACUUAACUGGCUGUGAGGGAACAGGAGUUUUGGAUGCAACUGCUGCAGGCUUUGAGGCUGCAGGAGGAAUUGUAAAAUUAAAAACAAGAAAACAAAAAUUACUGAAUUAACCAACAAUCAAAAGCAAAAGCGCAUAGAAAAGAAAACAAAUCCAGAAGGAAAAUUCGGCAAUGAACCUAACCUGCAGAUUGAGAAGCUAAAGCAGCGCUCUUUUUCUCUUUCUUUAAAACAGUUUCAGGUUCAGAAUCAAUCUCCUCAUCAUCAAAAGCACCCUUAACAUUAAGAUUAACAUCAUCCCAGCUCUUUGCAUCCCAUUCCUCCUCCUCCUCAUCAUCAUCA
Molecule: unclassified non-coding RNA, 2683 nt
Filed under: Hevea brasiliensis (rubber tree)
Lineage: Eukaryota; Viridiplantae; Streptophyta; Magnoliopsida; Malpighiales; Euphorbiaceae
Source: RNAcentral